ACAGCGUGAUCUUUCCACACUUCCCAGCGUUGAGUUCAUCAAACUGGUUGCAGAUUAACAUGAUGUCCUUCUCUGAGAUCUUCCCCAUCUCCUUGAGCUUGUAGAUCACAAACUCUGAUUUGCUACAGAAUGUAAUGAGGUCUGCUGCCAUCAGAUCUCCCGCGGUCAUCUUCCUCUUGAGCACCCACUCUGCAGUCCUUCGAUUCCUUUUCUCAAUCCUGAGCUCGGUCAGAUACAAGAAGGCCUUGGCGACAGCGAGAGUGCUCACCAGCAGCCAUACUGAUGCAAACAGCCUCCCCUUCAUCGUCAAGAAGGUGUAGUCCCCGUACCCCACUGUCGUCACGGAGGUCACCGAGAGAUAGAAGCUGUCGAGCCAAGCCAGCCCCUCCAGGACGUGCACCAUCACAGUCCCCACCGCAACACAGCAGAUAACGACACACAGUGCCAACCCCACCUUCAUCCGCACCCUCAUCCGCCCCUUCCUCAUGUCCAUCACAUACGUCCUGAAGAUCACGUUGCGACGGCUCUCGUCUACGGCGCUGAGCAGCACUGCCUCCUGCUUGUCGAGCACGUAGGUCAGCAACCCAUUGAGGAGGACAUCCACGAAGCCGAAGCCCACCAGAAUGAACGCACAGGUAAAGAGCUUGGUGAAGCUGGUGUGAGGCACUAUGUCGCCAUACCCGAUUGUGCACAUGCUCACGAUGGCGAAGUAUAGCCCGUCGACCAGUGGAAACGUUCUGUGCCCCUUGAAGCUCCCUUGCCUCACCAUGAAGACGAUGAUCCCUACCGAGAUGUACAGGAUUGCUCCAACUAUGGCUUGCCGCACAAUCCAUGGUGAACGCGUGGUCGGAGAAUCUGUAGGUUCGGCAUCGAGUGCCAGGGCUUGACUUUCCUUGAUGCAGGUGAAUAUGGAUGGAGCAGAGUAGGACCGGCGAGAGGCUUUAGUGGAAUGCUCAUUGGGCUCCUUGAUCACUGGUGUGUCAAGGAGUGGAGCAGCAUGAGUGGGUAUGGUUCUGCAGCAUGGAAAACUGGUGAGAUAGCUGAAGCGAUGAGAUGAGUUGCUGUUGCGAUGAUCUGAGAGCUCAUGAGAGCAAUUCUGUAUGGAUUCCGGUGUCUUGGUUGACAAAAGCUUGUCCAUGGACAUGAAGCAGUGCAGGAAUUCGUGAUCUGAAACUUGGAGCACUACUCAGAUUCCUGCACUAAAUCUUCAGGGAAAUUACACCUGCAAAAAGGGAAUUCUCCAGCUGCAGUUCUUCCAUAUUGACCAGCACACAAAGCACAUUACUCUGGUUCAUAGGUGCCAACAAUAACUCAGAUCAGAAGCUCUCCAUUCCUCUGGUUCCGAUGAAAGGAUUCAUGGAGGAACAUAAAAUGAAGUAAUUGUGUCAUUUAUGGUGAUCCCUGCCUUUUAAUGGUCUGAGCUCUCCAGAAAACUGGUAGAGACUACAGUGAAUUUUGCCUUCAAAUACUGCAUUACUAUAUUUUGCCAUUUUACCCAAUAUUUCCUUUUUUGUGUGGUAAAUUUCUACCAAGAGUAUUUGUUUGUAGAUUUUAUUAAUGUAGCCAUGACUACAAUAAAGGUAUUACAGAUCAUUA
Molecule: long non-coding RNA, 1596 nt
Organism: Musa acuminata AAA Group (dessert banana)
Lineage: Eukaryota; Viridiplantae; Streptophyta; Magnoliopsida; Zingiberales; Musaceae
Exons: 3
Source: RefSeq, a predicted model, not a curated record